CUCAACAUUUGUUAUUUGUCUCUGCUAUCUGGAUGAUGCUUUAAUUGGUUAUUGUAUGUCUUGACUUCUCUUCGACACGGAUCUCUGUAAUUAUCUGCCAUAUCAUCAAGGAUGCAAGGGUAUUACAGUUUCCUUAUUAUUUAUUUUUUAGCUUUAGGUUAAUCAACCAGUUGUUAUAUUUCUUCACUUCAUAUACUUUUGUCAGAAGCUUUGAUUCCAUGGACUUUUAUAUUUAGUACUGUCAUAGAUAAAUGUAAAUAAAGGGUUAAAACCUUUGCCUCAGUUGAAUCCUUCCAUGUCUGAAAGGGUUAAACGUUAAUUCCUUCACUUCUGCUUUUAUCGGCAGUCUUUGCAGCACAUUCCUUUGCAUGUAAUGUUACUUUUGUUUUAACCUUGUUAUUCUAGCAUAGCUUAGAUAACACUUUCCCAAUUAAGUAAUUGUUGCUUGUUUUCUUGUACACAUGCGCAGUAGACUAAUUCCAUAAUAAAUAUGCAAUGAUUUUGCAAUUAAAGAUGAGAUGAUAUUCAAGCUACAACUAAGUGUGUCUGUGGUUUUAUUAUCGGUUCUCCCAAGCACUCGAACAUCUAAUUAGGAGUCUCUGGUUAUCUCUUGAAUGAUCUUAUCCAUGAUAAAUUUCUAUAUCAGUACCCAACUUCACAGAAGUAAUUAUUUGCCAAUGAGUCCACAAGCUUGGAUUCUUUACUCUAAGAUCUCUGUGGACUCCCCUCUCUAAAAAUGUGUACCUUCAAUUCACUUGUUUAUUCACCAAUUGCCAUAGUUCUGUCCACUACUACUACUGCCUAAUAAAGUUGACUAAUUUCCUGGCUGAACAUGGUUUUUGUUUCUGAGGAUGCAUAUAUUUUAUGCAUUCCUCUGUUUAAACUAGGACUUGUUCCUUUUACAUGGUUAUAUUAUUUUGCCUUUUUAAUACAUGAUAUAUAUUCCUCUGCUCACCUUUUCUCUAUCCAGGAUCUUGCUUUUGUUCUUGUGUUUUAAAAAUAUGUAUAAAAUAUACAACAGAAAAAAUAGGAAUAUUUAACCUGUAUCUUGGCUCAUUUUGAGGAUGCCUUAGGACGGGGCUUAGCUUCAAAGGACAUGCAGUUUUAUAUGUAUCUGUAAAGUCCAGUUCAGGCAUCAAUAAACAGUAUUAUUUUUAUAGGCAGUAAUGUUAAUUUAUCUAUGCACAUUAUGUAGAUUUUAAGCACUUUCAAUUUUUGCACCUUUUUUUUUUUUUACUAGACC
Molecule: non-coding RNA, 1243 nt
Organism: Pelobates cultripes (western spadefoot toad)
Lineage: Eukaryota; Metazoa; Chordata; Amphibia; Anura; Pelobatidae
Source: the annotation of a GenBank genome assembly